RNAcentral lists this ribosomal RNA (484 nucleotides) under uncultured bacterium. RNAcentral describes it as "partial 16S ribosomal RNA". It matches the Rfam family "Bacterial small subunit ribosomal RNA", at positions 30 to 507 of the family's 1533-position model. The record is from RNAcentral.
AUUGAACGCUGGCGGCAGGCCUAACACAUGCAAGUCGAGCGGAUGAAGGGAGCUUGCUCCUGGAUUCAGCGGCGGACGGGUGAGUAAUGCCUAGGAAUCUGCCUGGUAGUGGGGGAUAACGUCCGGAAACGGGCGCUAAUACCGCAUACGUCCUGAGGGAGAAAGUGGGGGAUCUUCGGACCUCACGCUAUCAGAUGAGCCUAGGUCGGAUUAGCUAGUUGGUGGGGUAAAGGCCUACCAAGGCGACGAUCCGUAACUGGUCUGAGAGGAUGAUCAGUCACACUGGAACGGAGACACGGUCCAGACUACUACGGGAGGCAGCAGUGGGGAAUAUUGGACAAUGGGCGAAAGCCUGAUCCAGCCAUGCCGAGUGUGUGAAGAAGGUCUUCGGAUUGUAAAGCACUUUAAGUUGGGAGGAAGGGCAGUAAGUUAAUACCUUGCUGUUUUGACGUUACCAACAGAAUAAGCACCGGCUAACUUCGUG